Molecule: transfer RNA, 67 nt
Filed under: Brentidae sp. GENSP01
Lineage: Eukaryota; Metazoa; Arthropoda; Insecta; Coleoptera; Brentidae
Description: tRNA-Tyr
Source: RNAcentral
GGUAAAAUGGCUGAGGAGGUAGUAAAUUGUAAGUUUACCAACGAAAUAUUUUUAUUUUUCUUUUACC